This 87-nucleotide transfer RNA is filed under the name Anaerolineae bacterium. RNAcentral describes it as "tRNA-Leu". It matches the Rfam family "tRNA". Rfam says of the family: Transfer RNA (tRNA) molecules are approximately 80 nucleotides in length. Their secondary structure includes four short double-helical elements and three loops (D, anti-codon, and T loops). The record is from RNAcentral. Lineage: Bacteria; Bacillati; Chloroflexota; Anaerolineae.
GCCGAAGUGGCGGAAUGGUAUACGCGGCGGUCUCAAAAACCGCUGGAGGCAGACUCCUUGUGGGUUCGAAUCCCACCUUCGGCAUCA